Molecule: ribosomal RNA, 560 nt
Filed under: uncultured bacterium
Lineage: Bacteria
Description: bacterial SSU rRNA
Rfam family: Bacterial small subunit ribosomal RNA
Source: RNAcentral
UCCUACGGGAGGCAGCAGUGGGGAAUAUUGCACAAUGGGCGAAAGCCUGAUGCAGCAACGCCGCGUGAGCGAUGAAGGCCUUCGGGUCGUAAAGCUCUGUCCUCAAGGAAGAUAAUGACGGUACUUGAGGAGGAAGCCCCGGCUAACUACGUGCCAGCAGCCGCGGUAAUACGUAGGGGGCUAGCGUUAUCCGGAUUUACUGGGCGUAAAGGGUGCGUAGGCGGUCUUUUAAGUCAGGAGUGAAAGGCUACGGCUCAACCGUAGUAAGCUCUUGAAACUGGAGGACUUGAGUGCAGGAGAGGAGAGUGGAAUUCCUAGUGUAGCGGUGAAAUGCGUAGAUAUUAGGAGGAACACCAGUAGCGAAGGCGGCUCUCUGGACUGUAACUGACGCUGAGGCACGAAAGCGUGGGGAGCAAACAGGAUUAGAUACCCUGGUAGUCCACGCCGUAAACGAUGAGUACUAGGUGUCGGGGGUUACCCCCCUCGGUGCCGCAGCUAACGCAUUAAGUACUCCGCCUGGGGAGUACGCUCGCAAGAGUGAAACUCAAAGGAAUUGACGG